Molecule: long non-coding RNA, 2561 nt
Organism: Myotis myotis
Lineage: Eukaryota; Metazoa; Chordata; Mammalia; Chiroptera; Vespertilionidae
Exons: 3
Source: RefSeq, a predicted model, not a curated record
UCCUCUACCUUUCACUCUUCCCAUGUCCUAGAAGGUGAACAGGGUCCCCUCUUGGGACAUGUGAACGAGGGCAACAGCCCGGCAAUUAUGGAGCAACAGGACGGAAGGAACCUGCCACUGGAUGGCUUAUGUGUGGGAAAACGGAGGCUCAGCCAGACGAUGGCUGACGCAAGCUGAGGACAGCAGGAGUGGGAAUAAAGGGACCCUCUACCCCUUGCGUGGAGGAAGGAGCUGGCAGGCAGGAGUUGUCCGUCUCAGGUAGCAGGCCGCCCCGGAACCGAAUGGAGAGAGCGCAGCCCAGCCUGGUGCCCUGGAUGGAAGGGGGCACGCUGGCCCAGAAGGAAAGCGGCCGGCGAUGUAACCCGCGGGAGCAGCGUGACGCGAGAGGAGAAGUCCCAUCUCCAGAGGCACCCAGGGCCUUUGAGAGGAGUAGGAUCAGGAUCAGGAACACAAAGGGAGGAAUUGACGUUCAGCUUUUGACUGAAGAGGAGCCUGCCGUCCUUGGACAGACAAUUGUCUUGAAAACCAGGCUUUGUUGAGAGGUGGGGCGGCUUUCUGAGUCCCAACGUCCUCUUUGCACAUCAAGAGCCCAGCCGGCUGCCUCUGAGAUCACAGAGGAGUGCGGAGAGGACGGAGGGGAUGGAGAGAGGGGGAGCCCGCCAGGAAGGAGGGGAGGCGGGGCCUGCCCUCACAGGGUCCUGGUGAGGAGGGACAGGUGAGGACAUGGCCUGGGCCCCCAGGAGUGGGGAAGAGACUAGACCACAGAGACAGGACAUCUGUGCUCUGGUCCACUUUGCCACUUACCAACGUGGGGAUGGAGGUGAGAUCGUGGGGGUGGGAACCUGACAUGGGUGGGAGGGGGGCCUGGUUAGGCGAGGCUGACCCAGCACUGCUGUGUGGGGUGACCAGGAGGUCCAGAAUUGCAACCCCCAAGAUCAACAGACCAGCAGAGAAGGGCACCCUGUGGCCAGGGACAGGGGGGAAUCCCUGGACCAGGUGAGUCACACCUGGUGAGUCACGGAUGGGAGACCCCCCCCACCCCCCAGGAAGCUCGGCCAGCUUCUCCACACCUACCUACCCCAUUGCCGUAUUCGGAGGAGAAGUGGGAAGGGGAAGCCUGAAGCACUGAGCAUUCAUUCCAAAGCAACUGAAUUGCCUCCUGAGAGACCACAUGAAACUGGAAGGGGAAGUCAUAUUUAAUGACAAUGAACUUGCCGGUUAACAGCCCCUCUCCCCACCUCCUCCCUCAGUGGGAGGGUGCUGGAAUGUUUGUGAGAAGUCAGAAAGCGGCCUUCGCUCUUCCUUUGUGCAUCUGAGUCUGCUGUGCAGUUUUGAGCUGUGGAUAUCAGGAGAAGGGCCUGUCCGUCUUUACGUGUGUUCUUCCCUCUCCCUGGUCAGGUUUUGUCUUGUCAGUUAUGUGCACAGAGGCUGGCCGUGGGGGCAGGCGGCACACAGCUGGUAACUCCCUGGGCCUUUACGAAGCGUCACACAUGUUGUCGUGUUUGAUGGUGUCAAGGAUGAACUCCCUCUUUGUGGCACCUGAAGCUCCGAGAGGUUAAGCAGUUCGCCCAAGGUCACACAGCGAACUGACCACAGAGCUGGGAUCUGAACUUGGGUCUUCAGGUCGCUGAAGCCAUGCGCCUCUCACUGGCACAGGCUCUGUGGAAAGUGCCACAGCCACGUGAUUGAUAACGGUGGUUACAGGCCAUGAUCUACUUGGGGACCUCCCAGCAUAUGUCAGGGGACAUCCGUGGUGAUCAGUCAGGGGCCGCGUGGGAACUGCCUGCUGGCUCCCGGGCGUGUCACGGCCGUGGCUUCCAGUCAUCACUCUUUCUGCGGUGCAUUAGGGCGCCCGGAUGAAAAGCCUCCAACACACCUGGCAAAAUGACGCGCAGGAAAGACUCAUGCAUCUUGCUCCAAUUAAGAUGUUGGGAGAGAAGAGAAUCUAAUUGUCCCACAAUUGCCUUUAUUUAUCAAACUCGGAAUGAAGUGUGAUUGCGAAGUGUCUCAGGAGAGCUUGGUAGAGUUGAGAUGGUCUAGGAGGCUCUGACAGGCAUCCCAGCCACUGCAGGACACAGGCCGACCUGUGCGGGCAUCUGGGGAGAGCCUCCUGGUCCCGCGGAUGAGCAGGGUGAGGUCUGGCUCCUGCCUUGUUUCUGGCUUGCGGGGAGCUUUGAAUUUAUCCUUCCCCGUCCUGGGUCUUCGCUUCUUCCUGUGGAAAAUGGGGAAGGAAGAAAACAGGAGACUCAUCAGCAGACUCCUCCUCUAUGACUGAUGCUGUGUCCACACUUUCACAUAUGUUGUAAGAUCCCUUUCUAUCUCACAAAAGUCACCUCCUCCAGGAAGCCCUCCUUGGAGCCCCCAGGUUGGGUCAGAUGACUCUCUUUAUACUUCCAUUCUAUGGAUUUUGACGGGGUCUUUACUGUCCUAGGGGUUGAAUGGUCCAUCUCUUUGCUUGCACUCUGAACUCUGGAAAAACCAAGAAAAAAAAUUUUUUUUUUGUAAUCCUCCCCCAAGGAUAGUUUUCCAUUGAUUUUUAGAGAGAGUGGAAGGGAAGGGUA